UGACCAACCUGCCCCUAACUCUGGGAUAACCCCGGGAAACCGGAGCUAAUACCGGAUACGAGACCGAGUGGCAUCACACGGUCUGGAAAGUUUUUCGGUUAGGGAUGGGGUCGCGGCCUAUCAGCUUGUUGGUGGGGUAAUGGCCUACCAAGGCGACGACGGGUAGCCGGCCUGAGAGGGCGACCGGCCACACUGGGACUGAGACACGGCCCAGACUCCUACGGGAGGCA
Molecule: ribosomal RNA, 230 nt
Filed under: uncultured bacterium
Lineage: Bacteria
Description: partial 16S ribosomal RNA
Rfam family: Bacterial small subunit ribosomal RNA
Source: RNAcentral